AGGAUGUUUCACUUAGAGAUGUCAAUGGGUAUAGAUAUAUGAAAUUUUAUCCAAAUCUAAAUCCAAACCCGAACGGAGCGAAUUUAUUCGAUACUAAACAUAUAUGGUUUCGGAUAUGGAUAUAAAAAAUAAAAACCCGAUGGAUAUAGAUUCGAACCGGAACCCGAGCCGAACCGAAUUUAUUUUAUAUUAUAUAUAACAUGUAUAUAAAAAUUUAAUAUUAUAUUUGAAUUUGUAUUGUAAAAAUAUAGAUUUAAUGUAAUUUAUUUUAAAAUAUUAAAAAGAGAAAUAAUUAUUUCAGGUUCAGAUUUUCGGGUUCGGGUUUCGGAUUUUUGGUCGGGUUCGGGUUUGGAUAUGGAUUUUUAAAAUCCAUCGGGUUCAAGUUCGGGUUCCGAUUUCGGGUUUUCAGUUGGGUUUGGGUUCGGAUUUUUGAAAAUUCGUCCCAAAUCCGACCCGUUGACAUCCUUAGUUUCGCUAGGGGAGGAAUCGAGCCUAAAUUUAGACUCAAGCCCAGCUUGAAAUUAAU
Molecule: long non-coding RNA, 526 nt
Filed under: Ananas comosus (pineapple)
Lineage: Eukaryota; Viridiplantae; Streptophyta; Magnoliopsida; Poales; Bromeliaceae
Description: long non-coding RNA (ACOM_LNC028969)
Source: RNAcentral